RNAcentral lists this unclassified non-coding RNA (253 nucleotides) under uncultured Parcubacteria group bacterium. RNAcentral describes it as "contains 16S-23S intergenic spacer region". It matches the Rfam family "Bacterial small subunit ribosomal RNA", at positions 524 to 776 of the family's 1533-position model. The record is from RNAcentral.
UACGUGAGCUCCAAGCGUUAUCCGGAAUCAUUGGGCGUAAAGGGUCCGUAGGCGGUGUGUAUUGUCGUGGGUUAAAGGUCUCGGCUUAACCGAGAAGAUGCUCACGAAACGUGCACACUAGAGGAUGUGAGAGGUUGGCGGAACUCACGGUGUAGGGGUGACAUCCGUUGAUAUCGUGGGGAACACCAAAAGCGAAGGCAGCCAACUGGCGCAUUCCUGACGCUGAGGGACGACAGUGUGGGUAGCGAAGAGG